This 1012-nucleotide long non-coding RNA is filed under the name Prunus dulcis (almond). Its description in RNAcentral is "sRNA ncRNA". Lineage: Eukaryota; Viridiplantae; Streptophyta; Magnoliopsida; Rosales; Rosaceae. The record is from RNAcentral.
UUAAUUACUCUAAGCCUCCUUGCAUUCUUAUCUUUAGCUCUCUUAUAGAUUGAGUAUGGCUAACCAUCAAUACCCACCAAAUGGUGACAAAGAAAAGAGAGAAAACAUGGAGAAAAGAAAACAGGAGUUGCUAACUACCAUUGAGAAGCAGGAUGAUAAAGUACAUCAACUUCAAACGAGCGCCUUCAACCUUGCAAACUAUUACUUCGUCUUUCAAGGUAUUAUUUUGGGGGCUAUCCUCACUGCCACCUCAGCCCUCAGAUGCUCAGAUCGCUGGUUCCUUUUCAGCCUCUCUCUGAUAGCAGCUAUACUCAACUUGGUUUCAUUGCUUGUAAUUGGAAGCAAUUAUAAAAGAAGCGUGAUGCAGAGACACCAAACCAAGAGUGAGCUCAUUGAAUUGGAAAGUGAUCUGAGCAAGCUAGAAACUUCACCUUCAGAUCAAGGGCUCAAAACUAAAAUAUUAAGCUACUGGGAUACGACACAUAUUCAACAUCCACAGGUUGCUUCUCAUCAUUCUACGACCCUAGAUAUUAAGGAUGAAUCGGAAGUAAGGCAUAAAAGGAGGGUCAUUCCUGUUGUUACAAAUCAUCUACGUGAGUUCUACUUUGUACUUUGCAUGGGUAUAUUUAUAAUCUUUGCCGUCAUCGUGAUUGUGGGUUGCUGGACUAUUCCUUGCAAGAAAACUCUUCAAUGCACACCCCAUAUAUCGAACGCCAACAGUGAUAAAUGUAUUAGGGUUUGUGAAGGUGCCAAGUGUAUGAGCAUCUGCGCCCAGUUCUAAGGCUUAAAGUUCAACAGUUCUAUAUAGCUUUGAGCUACGGUUAUCCAAGUAGAUUGGAGCCACAAUAAAGUUUACCAUAUUUUGUUGCUCAUCAUUUCAUCUAUAAUAGUUUAUUACAUGCUUUUGUGCACGUACAGAUUUCACAAAUAAGAAUGUUAUUACAUGAUCGGAGCUCAAAUAAAAUAUAAGAUUCGGAUGAAUUUAGGUCUUCAGCACAUAAAAUUAAAAAAG